Molecule: ribosomal RNA, 468 nt
Filed under: Triticum aestivum (bread wheat)
Lineage: Eukaryota; Viridiplantae; Streptophyta; Magnoliopsida; Poales; Poaceae
Description: partial small subunit ribosomal RNA
Source: RNAcentral
AUGGAAAAACACCGCUCCUCUCGUAACGCCGCACGUUCUGAUUUUUUUCCCCACCACGAGCACCCCGCAACCGCCAGCAGCGCCGCAGAUCUUCCUUCGCCUCCGUGGACAACACCGCCCGCGAUCUUCCGAGCAGCAGCACCGCGAUCUUCCGUCGCCGCCAUUGGCAGCAGCUCCGGCGCUCUUCCCGGCCGUGAGCAGCAGCGCCGCAAUCUUCAGUCGCCACCAUUGGCAGCAGCGUCGGUUUCCUUUCGCCGCCGUGAGGAGCAGCGCCGGCGAUAUUCCCCGCCGUGUGCACCAGCGCCAAAGAUCCCGCCGCCAUCAUCGGCAACAGCGUGGCUGAUUUCUCUCCGCCGUCUGAGCAGCUGGCACCCUCUUUUCUCGUUGCAACCCAACCCUCUGCUGGCGGCUGUAGGCCACCGUUUCCUCUUCCCUUGCUCGAACCAAACACAUCGUGCAUUCGCUUAG